This 703-nucleotide unclassified non-coding RNA is filed under the name Hevea brasiliensis (rubber tree). The record is from RNAcentral. Lineage: Eukaryota; Viridiplantae; Streptophyta; Magnoliopsida; Malpighiales; Euphorbiaceae.
AAAAUGUUUGGUGACUUCCAAAAGGAUACCCCCGAGGAGAGGAAUGUUCGAUUUGGCGUCAGGGAACAUGGGAUGGGUGCCAUAUGCAACGGUAUCGCCCUUCACAGCCCCGGGCUGAUCCCCUACUGCGCAACUUUCUUCGUCUUCACCGACUACAUGAGAGGCGCCAUCCGUCUCUCAGCUUUGUCCGAGGCAAGAGUCAUCUACGUGAUGACGCACGACUCCAUCGGUCUUGGAGAAGAUGGACCGACCCAUCAGCCGAUCGAGCAUCUGAUAAGCUUCCGAGCCAUGCCCAAUGUGCUGAUGCUUCGACCUGCGGACGGGACCGAGACUGCCGGAGCCUACAAGGUCGCUGUGCUCAACGAGAAGCGACCGUCCAUCCUCGCCCUCUCCCGUCAGAAGCUCGCUCAACUCCCAGGGACAUCGGUUGAAGGAGUCGAGAAGGGUGGAUACACGAUUUCUGACAACUCUUCUGGUAACAAACCUGACUUCAUUCUUAUUGGUACUGGAUCGGAACUCGAGAUCGCUGAGAAGGCUGCUGGUGAGCUGAGGAAGGAUGGGAAGACGGUGCGGGUCGUCUCGCUUGUUUCGUGGGAGCUGUUCGAUGAGCAAUCGGAUGAGUACAAGGAGAGUGUACUGCCAGCUGCUGUCACGGCUAGGGUCAGUAUCGAAGCGGGGUCCACGCUAGGCUGGGAGAAGUUCG